GAUGAAGAACGCAGUGAAAUGCGAUACGUAAUGUGAAUUGCAGAACUCAGUGAAUCAUCGAGUCUUUGAACGCACAUUGCGCCCCCUGGUAUUCCGGGGGGCAUGCCUGUCCGAGCGUCAUUGCUGCCCUCAAGCACGGCUUGUGUGUUGGGCCUCCGUCCUCCUCCCGGGGGACGGGCCCGAAAGGCAGCGGCGGCACCGCGUCCGGUCCUCGAGCGUAUGGGGCUUCGUCACCCGCUCUUGUAGGCCCGGCCGGCGCUUGCCGACACAUCAAUCUUUUUUCCAGGUUGACCUCGGAUCAGGUAGGGAUACCCGCUGAACUUAAGCAUAUCAAUAAGCGGAGGA
This 345-nucleotide unclassified non-coding RNA is filed under the name soil metagenome. RNAcentral's name for it is "partial contains 5.8S ribosomal RNA, internal transcribed spacer 2, and large subunit ribosomal RNA". The stretch from base 1 to 120 matches the Rfam family "5.8S ribosomal RNA", at positions 35 to 154 of the family's 154-position model. The record is from RNAcentral.